AUGAGGAACCAGCUCCUCCUGCUGUUCAAGUACAGAGGCCUGGUCCGCAAAGGGAAGAAAAGCAAAAGACGAAAAUGGCUAAAUUCGUGA
Molecule: long non-coding RNA, 90 nt
Organism: Nycticebus coucang (slow loris)
Lineage: Eukaryota; Metazoa; Chordata; Mammalia; Primates; Lorisidae
Exons: 1
Source: RefSeq, a predicted model, not a curated record